RNAcentral lists this ribosomal RNA (253 nucleotides) under uncultured bacterium. RNAcentral's name for it is "partial 16S ribosomal RNA". It matches the Rfam family "Bacterial small subunit ribosomal RNA", at positions 524 to 776 of the family's 1533-position model. The record is from RNAcentral.
GACGUAGGGAGCGAGCGUUGUCCGGAUUCAUUGGGCGUAAAGGGCGCGUAGGUGGCCGAGCAAGGUCGCGGUGAAAGCCCGGGGCUCAACCCCGGGUCGGCCGUGGCAACUACUUGGCUUGAGCACUGUAGGGGCGGGUGGAAUUCCGGGUGUAGCGGUGGAAUGCGUAGAUAUCGAGAGGAACACCUGCGGCGAAGGCGGGUUGCUGGGCUGACACUGACGCUGAGGCGCGAAAGCUAGGGGAGCGAACGGG